AUUGAACGCUGGCGGCAUGCCUUACACAUGCAAGUCGAACGGUAACAGGUCUUCGGAUGCUGACGAGUGGCGAACGGGUGAGUAAUAUAUCGGAACGUGCCUAGUCGUGGGGGAUAACGCAGCGAAAGCUGUGCUAAUACCGCAUACGAUCUAUGGAUGAAAGCGGGGGAUCGCAAGACCUCGCGCGAUUGGAGCGGCCGAUAUCAGAUUAGGUAGUUGGUGGGGUAAAGGCUCACCAAGGCGACGAUCUGUAGCGGGUCUGAGAGGAUGGUCGGCCACACUGGGACUGAGAUACGGCCCAGACUCCUACGGGAGGCAGCAGUGGGGAAUUUUGCGCAAUGGGGGCAACCCUGACGCAGCGACGCCGCGUGGGUGAAGAAGGCCUCGGUUGUAAGCCUGUCUAGGGGAGAGUAGUGACGGUACCCGUGGAGGAAGACCCGGCUAACUACGUAGCCAGCAGCCGCGGUAUGAGUAGUACA
This 479-nucleotide ribosomal RNA is filed under the name uncultured bacterium. RNAcentral describes it as "bacterial SSU rRNA". It matches the Rfam family "Bacterial small subunit ribosomal RNA", at positions 29 to 534 of the family's 1533-position model. The record is from RNAcentral.